RNAcentral lists this ribosomal RNA (492 nucleotides) under uncultured bacterium. RNAcentral describes it as "partial 16S ribosomal RNA". It matches the Rfam family "Bacterial small subunit ribosomal RNA", at positions 29 to 507 of the family's 1533-position model. The record is from RNAcentral.
AGUGAACGCUGGCGGUAGGCCUAACACAUGCAAGUCGAACGGCAGCACAGUAAGAGCUUGCUCUUACGGGUGGCGAGUGGCGGACGGGUGAGGAAUACAUCGGAAUCUACUUUUUCGUGGGGGAUAACGUAGGGAAACUUACGCUAAUACCGCAUACGACCUACGGGUGAAAUCAGGGGAUCUUCGGACCUUGCGCGAUUGAAUGAGCCGAUGUCGGAUUAGCUAGUUGGAGGGGAAAAGGCCCACUAAGGCGACGAUCCGUAGCUGGUCUGAGAGGAUGAUCAGCCACACGAGAACUGAGACACGGUCCAGACUCCUAAGGGAGGCAGCAGUCGGGAAUAUUCGACAAUGGGCGCAAGCCUGAUCCAGCCAUACCGCGUGAGUGAAGAAGGCCUUCGGGUUGUAAAGCCCUUUUGUUGGGAAAGAAAAGCAGCAGGUUAAUACCCCGCUGUUCUGACGGUACCCAAAGAAUAAGCAACGGCUAACUUCGUG